Non-coding RNA from Myodes glareolus (Bank vole), 1032 nucleotides. The record is from RefSeq and is a predicted model, not a curated record. Lineage: Eukaryota; Metazoa; Chordata; Mammalia; Rodentia; Cricetidae.
GAUCUGGGCUGGUUCAAGAUGGUCAGGAGUAUCUUCAGCCACCUCUUCAUGUUCUGAUUCCAUCUUUCCAGCCUCAACUCCCACACUCCUUAAAGCCCCUCCCCUUCUCGAAACUAAGGGCUCUUUUAAAAGGAAAAAAUUCAUAAACAAAGAAUUCCUGUGGAGCCACCAGGAACCAGGACCUGAUCUGUGUCCUAAAAGAUAAAAGCAGGACGGUGUGGGCAUUUCUCCGUGGUGCUUUCAUUCUGGUGAAAGGCACUGUCACUAAUGAGGGUGUCGCGUGUGCUCGGCAGGGGCAGUGCUCUGUACACCACAGUUUCAGCAUGGAAUUGCCACUGGCCCCAGCCUCCUUUGUGCUGAGCAGAGUCCAUCGGAGUAACCUUUAGCAACAUGAUAUGGCAUGUGCCUCUUCCAACAAGCAUUUUAAGAACCUGGUGUGCCUUCUUACUAGUCUUCCCCCGGUCCCUCCUCAAUGCAGAGGACUGAAUUCCUGAAGAGAGAGCCUCAAACUGCAAGGAUCCAGAUGCCUGAAUCCCAGAUGAAGAAAAAACAGUCCUCAACUAAUAAGGUACUGGUAAAGAAGUAUGUAACGAGCAUGAUGUACGUUCGCUUACAGAAACACUGGGUGCUUGUGCUUACAGGGUUAGCCAUUAAGCAAUACUGUGUAAUGGAUGGCCAUGGAGAAGAAACAGCAGGACUCAGGAAACAAGGAAUGUUCCAGACAGCAGUUUUUAAUCUAAAUGCAGUGUUCAGGGAAGACCUCCUCAUCCAGUAACGUUCAUUUGAAGCUGUUCUUCAGCCUCCACACAUUUUCCUCAAUCCGGCGCUCUUCUUACCCUUUAGAGGGCAGUUCACGUAUCACCUCCUCAAGGACGUCGCCUGCCAACCCAAGAAUGAAUGCUUGACCGCACCUUCACACAUCACCCGGCCCUCUCCUGCAGCACCUGGUUGUAGUGGCAUUUCAUUUGUGUUUAAAAAAAUAAAGAUGGCCUGAAGAUCUGAGAAUAAACAGUCCCACUGGUCAGCCUUCCA